UAGCCUUUGCUGUAGUGCUCUCUGGGCUCC
Molecule: non-coding RNA, 30 nt
Filed under: Rattus norvegicus (Norway rat)
Lineage: Eukaryota; Metazoa; Chordata; Mammalia; Rodentia; Muridae
Source: RNAcentral